Molecule: ribosomal RNA, 279 nt
Filed under: uncultured bacterium
Lineage: Bacteria
Description: partial 16S ribosomal RNA
Rfam family: Bacterial small subunit ribosomal RNA
Source: RNAcentral
UGCCAGCAGCCGCGGUAAUACGAAGGGAGCUAGCGUUGUUCGGAAUUACUGGGCGUAAAGCGCACGUAGGCGGAUUUGUUAGUCAGGGGUGAAAUCCCGGGGCCCAACCUCGGAACUGCCUUUGAUACUGCAAGUCUGGAGUCCGGAAGAGGUGGGUGGAAUUCCUAGUGUAGAGGUGAAAUUCGUAGAUAUUAGGAAGAACACCGGUGGCGAAGGCGGCCCACUGGUCCGGUACUGACGCUGAGGUGCGAAAGCGUGGGGAGCAAACAGGAUUAGAUA